RNAcentral lists this ribosomal RNA (253 nucleotides) under uncultured bacterium. Its description in RNAcentral is "partial 16S ribosomal RNA". It matches the Rfam family "Bacterial small subunit ribosomal RNA", at positions 524 to 776 of the family's 1533-position model. The record is from RNAcentral.
UACGUAGGGGGCUAGCGUUGUCCGGAUUUACUGGGCGUAAAGCGCACGUAGGCGGAUCGAUCAGUCAGGGGUGAAAUCCCAGGGCUCAACCCUGGAACUGCCUUUGAUACUGUCGAUCUGGAGUAUGGAAGAGGUGAGUGGAAUUCCGAGUGUAGAGGUGAAAUUCGUAGAUAUUCGGAGGAACACCAGUGGCGAAGGCGGCUCACUGGUCCAUUACUGACGCUGAGGCGCGAAAGCUAGGGUAGCAAACGGG